RNAcentral lists this transfer RNA (74 nucleotides) under Lentisphaerota bacterium. RNAcentral's name for it is "Lentisphaerae bacterium (anaerobic digester metagenome) tRNA-Val". It matches the Rfam family "tRNA". Rfam says of the family: Transfer RNA (tRNA) molecules are approximately 80 nucleotides in length. Their secondary structure includes four short double-helical elements and three loops (D, anti-codon, and T loops). The record is from RNAcentral. Lineage: Bacteria; Pseudomonadati; Lentisphaerota.
GGGCGAUUAGCUCAGAUGGUUAGAGCGCUUCCUUCACACGGAAGAGGCCACAGGUUCGAGUCCUGUAUCGCCCA